Daphnia carinata is the source of this 656-nucleotide long non-coding RNA. RefSeq lists it as uncharacterized. NCBI's taxonomy places the organism in Eukaryota, Metazoa, Arthropoda, Branchiopoda, Diplostraca, Daphniidae. The record is from RefSeq and is a predicted model, not a curated record. The transcript has 3 exons.
GUGAUGAAGAUCAAUGAAUCAGAAAAUGUUUUGCAUUGGUGGUGAAUGUUCUGACAGUUUGAAUAGUUGUGAUGUGGUGUAUUUCACUUCCACACAUCAUGUAGAAGUUGGUGACCUGAAACAAUGAACAUGGAAAAAUCACCUGUGCCCACGCUGACGAUGAUACCUGUACUGAAGUGCUGGAAACUAAAAUUAAUUUUCUUUACAAUUUGGUUUCAGGCCAUCUUUAUAAUUUUUUAAUAGUUUUGCGUUUAUUGAUGAGUCUGCAAGCUCUUAGGUGAUCUACUCCUUUAUAUACCACCUGUCGACGAUUUGACAGCCUCACACAAUUAAAGAAUUCCAGGCCAAAGUGAGCUCUUCCGAGCAGAAAAGUGGCGGCGUAUCCAUUUAAUUGAAAAUAGGCACAAGAUAACGCACAAUUGGCGUCCUUGUCUCAAUGGGGAAAUUUUUCCGUGGAUCUUAUGACCGAAAUGCCAUUGUAGCUGUUCAAAAAAAGAAAAUUGUAUUAUCAUACAGAUGUUGACUAGCUAACAAUCCAGAGAUAGGUCAACUUGCGAAAUUUCUAGAUGUGUGUGAAGCGCAAUCAGCAUCCUUGUUGAACUGUGAACCCAAAUCAUGUAUUUUCCUAGAAAUGUCUAGGUUUUUGGAUAAAUAAA